ACAGAAGAAGCUGAAAAUCUAUAACAGAGUAGGCA
Molecule: non-coding RNA, 35 nt
Filed under: Pedobacter agri PB92
Lineage: Bacteria; Pseudomonadati; Bacteroidota; Sphingobacteriia; Sphingobacteriales; Sphingobacteriaceae
Description: DUF805b RNA
Rfam family: DUF805b RNA
About the family: Bacteroidetes, Chlorobi (1 example), Proteobacteria. Lineage (Flavobacteria)
Source: RNAcentral